CCGCUUCCCGCCAAUCAUCAUUCACAGAAAGCACGAGGCAGGCCGAGAGAAGAAAACGAUGCAAACAAGGACAUUAGUGACUUUAGAGAGUUUGGACACGUUCACAACAGGUUUAAUUUGUUUUAAAUAAUAAAUACUACGGCGAAUGAGUUCGUGAAGAGUAGUGACUGAGUUUUGGUCAGGUUUUAUGGCAAGCCCAUCCAUUUUGAGAAGAAGAGUUAUUCAGUUCACGGAUGUUUUAUUGAUGUCGAGCCACCCAACUAAGCCUGAAGAUACUUCACAUAGGCAAAAGAAGAUUCAUCGCUCUGGAAUAACAGACCUGGAUCUCAGGACCUGUGGUGAGAGGCAACACAUUCUGGACCAAAACCCACAACCUGAUCACGUGAUUUAUUCUUCCCUGUGGCACACAUGACCCAGCAUCCAUAAUGGCAUGGUACAAGAACAAAAUUAAA
Molecule: long non-coding RNA, 452 nt
Organism: Sinocyclocheilus anshuiensis
Lineage: Eukaryota; Metazoa; Chordata; Actinopteri; Cypriniformes; Cyprinidae
Exons: 3
Source: RefSeq, a predicted model, not a curated record